GAUGAACGCUGGCGGCGUGCUUAACACAUGCAAGUCGAACGAUGAAGCCCAGCUUGCUGGGUGGAUUAGUGGCGAACGGGUGAGUAACACGUGAGUAACCUGCCCUUAACUCUGGGAUAAGCCUGGGAAACUGGGUCUAAUACCGGAUAGGAGCGUCCACCGCAUGGUGGGUGUUGGAAAGAUUUAUCGGUUUUGGAUGGACUCGCGGCCUAUCAGCUUGUUGGUGCGGUAAUGGCUCACCAAGGCGACGACGGGUAGCCGGCCUGAGAGGGUGACCGGCCACACUGGGACUGAGACACGGCCCAGACUCCUACGGGAGGCAGCAGUGGGGAAUAUUGCACAAUGGGCGCAAGCCUGAUGCAGCGACGCCGCGUGAGGGAUGACGGCCUUCGGGUUGUAAACCUCUUUCAGUAGGGAAGAAGCGAAAGUGACGGUACCUGCAGAAGAAGCACCGGCUAGCUACGUG
RNAcentral lists this ribosomal RNA (466 nucleotides) under uncultured bacterium. RNAcentral describes it as "partial 16S ribosomal RNA". It matches the Rfam family "Bacterial small subunit ribosomal RNA", at positions 28 to 507 of the family's 1533-position model. The record is from RNAcentral.